This 642-nucleotide unclassified non-coding RNA is filed under the name Hevea brasiliensis (rubber tree). The record is from RNAcentral. Lineage: Eukaryota; Viridiplantae; Streptophyta; Magnoliopsida; Malpighiales; Euphorbiaceae.
AACAGAAUAAACCAUUCAUUCAUAAGAGAACAAAUGUACAUCAUAAAGACUCUGGGCCCUUAGCCCUCUAAGCCAUAGUCCUGCUCCUGCAUACUUUACCGAGCCCUAGUCUAUACAAAGAUUGGUAGAAAGCCUAACUAUCAAAACAGUAGCCAGGUCGAAAACCUUAAAGUCAUAAAGCACAUCUUCCAAAAGACCCAUCUUCCCCUCACCAUAGCAAAAGAAACCAGCUUACAAAGGGAACCAUAGAUCAUUUGGCAACGUAGACUGUUGGGAUUUCACCACAAAUAAACAUGCAUCCACUCAAUAUAAAUAAUAAAGUCGCAGAGCAAAGAAACCAAAGGUAGAGUAUCAAGGCAAAGAGUAGUGUCGGCCAAAGGAGCAACGAACCCAAGAGAUGUCGAACGAGCCGGCAACAGACGUGGCGGAGCUCUGGCGUCACAAUCUCAUCUAGCCAGGACGGUCACCCGUCCUUUGAGGGUACCAACCAACAAAGUCAAGCCAUAGAUAUGGCUAUUGCAGAUUCACCCAUCUCAAAUCUUUAAAGAAUCCCUCACAAGGAAGCACAAGAUCUAGUCUUCAUCUAACAAAACCUGAUACGGCUAAAUCCCCAACCAAGGAGGGGGAACUGAACUCCACAAU